GAUGAACGCUGGCCGCGUGCCUAAUACAUGCAAGUCGAGCGAACGGAUGAGAAGCUUGCUUCUCUGAUGUUAGCGGCGGACGGGUGAGUAACACGUGGAUAACCUACCUAUAAGACUGGGAUAACUUCGGGAAACCGGAGCUAAUACCGGAUAAUAUUUUGAACCGCAUGGUUCAAAAGUGAAAGACGGUCUUGCUGUCACUUAUAGAUGGAUCCGCGCUGCAUUAGCUAGUUGGUAAGGUAACGGCUUACCAAGGCAACGAUGCAUAGCCGACCUGAGAGGGUGAUCGGCCACACUGGAACUGAGACACGGUCCAGACUCCUACGGGAGGCAGCAGUAGGGAAUCUUCCGCAAUGGGCGAAAGCCUGACGGAGCAACGCCGCGUGAGUGAUGAAGGUCUUCGGAUCGUAAAACUCUGUUAUUAGGGAAGAACAUAUGUGUAAGUAACUGUGCACAUCUUGACGGUACCUAAUCAGAAAGCCACGGCUAACUACGUG
Molecule: ribosomal RNA, 497 nt
Filed under: uncultured bacterium
Lineage: Bacteria
Description: partial 16S ribosomal RNA
Rfam family: Bacterial small subunit ribosomal RNA
Source: RNAcentral